This 499-nucleotide ribosomal RNA is filed under the name uncultured Glomeromycotina. RNAcentral's name for it is "partial small subunit ribosomal RNA". It matches the Rfam family "Eukaryotic small subunit ribosomal RNA", at positions 591 to 1092 of the family's 1831-position model. Lineage: Eukaryota; Fungi; Glomeromycota. The record is from RNAcentral.
CCAAUAGCGUAUAUUAAAGUUGCUGCAGUUAAAAAGCUCGUAGUUGAAUUUCGGGACUAAUAUGUCGGUCGUGCCUCGGUACGUACUGGUAUUUUUGGUUUCUCCCUUCUGACGAACCUUGAUGUCAUUAAUUUGGUGUCUUGGGGAAUCAGGACUGUUACUUUGAAAAAAUUAGAGUGUUUAAAGCAGGCUCACGCUUGAAUACAUUAGCAUGGAAUAAUGAAAUAGGACGUUUGAUUCUAUUUUGUUGGUUUCUAGGAUCGACGUAAUGAUUAAUAGGGAUAGUUGGGGGCAUUAGUAUUCAAUUGUCAGAGGUGAAAUUCUUGGAUUUAUUGAAGACUAACUACUGCGAAAGCAUUUGCCAAGGAUGUUUUCAUUAAUCAAGAACGAAAGUUAGGGGAUCGAAGACGAUCAGAUACCGUCGUAGUCUUAACCAUAAACUAUGCCGACUAGGGAUCGGAUGAUGUUAAUUUUUUAAUGACUCAUUCGGCGCCUUACG